Poecile atricapillus (Black-capped chickadee) is the source of this 1784-nucleotide long non-coding RNA. RefSeq lists it as uncharacterized. NCBI's taxonomy places the organism in Eukaryota, Metazoa, Chordata, Aves, Passeriformes, Paridae. The record is from RefSeq and is a predicted model, not a curated record. The transcript is spliced from 3 exons.
CAGGCUUUAGGCAACCCACCUACUGAUGCUCCGUGGCCAUUAUCCAAUUAUAAGUGCUUUUUGCUCAGAAGAAUUCCGUCGUUACUGCCUUUAAUGUGUCGGAUGGUCACCAGAACGGAGCACAGGUAAGGGAGCAGACCCCGCUGCGGUCUGCGGCAGAAGCACCAGGGAUCGUCUCCUCCUCUUGCCCGUCUCUGUGGAAGCUCUUUGCAGCGCUGCUUGCAUUUUGUCAUUUGCAAUAAUGCUUUGUCAUUUCAGAGGUGACCGGGGCGCGCCGGGGCCCCGGCCUCUUCCCUCUUCUGCCUUGUCCAGCUGAUCGCUAUCAGCCAGAGGUGGGGCGUCCUGUUUAUGUCCCCGAGCAGGACUGGGAGUGCUGGCCCGUCCCACCGGCACCGCCGCCGUCCCCGCUCCCUGGAGCGCUGCCGCCGGGGCCGCUCCGAGCAGCGCCGGGCCCGCGCUGAUUGUCCGCAGUGCAUUGUAUUUACAGGGCCUUUCGGGGUUUCUGCCGGUCACCCGCCGCCACCGGGGAAAUAUUUUUAUUCCCCCUCUGCCGCGUAACUUGGCUUCUGUUUUCUUGUUGUUGUUUUUUUCCUCCUGCCUUUGUAGAUGUUGGCUGCGGCCAGGGCCAAGUCACGGGGCAGGCAGGAUGUGCUGCAUCUGCGGAGGUACAGGCAUGCGAAUAAAUGACACGGAUUUCUGCAGCUUCGCCGGGCUCUGGCAGGUGUUACUCAGAUAAAGCCCAAGCAGAGAUUAUGCAGCAGAUUUGACCACACAGAGGCUUCACAAAUUCUUGAGGUCCAGAUGCAAGUUGCACCUGAUACAAAUGAAGGAAAGCUCUGAUGAACAGCAGAGACAGAGAGCAAACAUAUUUUUUAAAUGUAUACACCUUGAGUGUAUUUCCCAGCAUUUGAGCCUUGCUGAGGCAUCACUGCCUUCCCUUGGAGCAAUACAAGCCAUUCGUGAAGUUUCUGUGCUGAACUGUGGGAAUAGAGAGGCAAGAAGCUGUGACCCCUGGGUAAGAACAUGCUUUGGAAACACCAUCAUCAAAAAAUGAACACAUCAGCCCAGAAGGCCCACAGACAGCUGAUCCUCUCCAGCCUUAUCAGAGAGAGAGCUCCUGUGGAUGCUGAGGCAGCAGCCACCGGACAUUUUUGAGAUGUUUAUUCUAUCCUGUGUUGAUAUGAAGUCAAUACGAUAACUAAAAAUAAAGAUUAAAAAAAAAGUACACAGCAGCUAUUUGUUCCUGAAUUGUUAUGUUUACCCAUACCAGCCCAGAUUUCCAUUUAGGCAGGCCUGUAGUCCCAGAUGUUCAGUCAUUUUCAGCAACACGGUCAUAUCCCAGAAGAUUUAGCCUGCUGGAGCAACUAUAUUAAACAUGCCUGUAAUUUUCCACUGUAACUGGAAGAUUGCAUUCCUCAGAGGUGAGCAAUCACUGACUGGACAGGCCCCGUGCACAUGUAGGCAGCACAGCUCUGAGUCCUCUGCAGCCUCUCACCAGGGCAGGAGGGCACAGCACUUCUGUAGCCCAACAAGGCUUGAUCUGGGAUGAGGAGGCUCCCAUCAGCAGCACUCCCUAGGAGAGGUGGCCAUGCAGCUGGACAUCCCUGGCCAGUUGCUGCUGCAGGGAUGGAUGUUGCUGGGCCUGAAGGUGGCUUCUCUGCUGGCCCUCCUGGCACUCAGAGCUGUAGGCUUUUUGCAUCACCUCUGUUGAGGUGAUCCAAAGAGAAAAAUGGCCUUUAACUGAAUAAAAACAGAUGUUUCACCCAAUCACCUCCUGCUUCCUG